Molecule: ribosomal RNA, 504 nt
Filed under: uncultured Chloroflexota bacterium
Lineage: Bacteria; Bacillati; Chloroflexota
Description: bacterial SSU rRNA
Rfam family: Bacterial small subunit ribosomal RNA
Source: RNAcentral
UAGGGAAUAUUGCACAAUGGGCGAAAGCCUGAUGCAGCAACGCCGCGUGCGCGAAGAAGGCCUUCGGGUUGUAAAGCGCUUUUCGGGGAGAUGAGGAAGGACAGUAUCCCCGGAAUAAGGCUCGGCUAACUACGUGCCAGCAGCCGCGGUAACACGUAGGAGCCAAGCGUUAUCCGAAUUCACUGGGCGUAAAGCGCGUGCAGGCGGCACGGCAAGUUGGAUGUGAAAGCUCCUGGCUCAACUGGGAGAGGACGUUCAAUACUGUCGAGCUAGAGGACGGCAGAGGGAGGUGGAAUUCCCGGUGUAGUGGUGAAAUGCGUAGAUAUCGGGAGGAACACCAGUGGCGAAGGCGGCCUUCUGGGCCGUACCUGACGCUCAGACGCGAAAGCUAGGGGAGCAAACGGGAUUAGAAACCCCGGUAGUCCUAGCCGUAAACGAUGUAGACUUGGUGUAGGUGGUGUAAAAGCCAUCUGUGCCGAAGCAAACGCGAUAAGUCUACCGCCG